This 253-nucleotide ribosomal RNA is filed under the name uncultured Eubacteriales bacterium. Its description in RNAcentral is "uncultured Clostridiales bacterium partial 16S ribosomal RNA". It matches the Rfam family "Bacterial small subunit ribosomal RNA", at positions 524 to 776 of the family's 1533-position model. Lineage: Bacteria; Bacillati; Bacillota; Clostridia; Eubacteriales. The record is from RNAcentral.
UACGUAGGGGGCAAGCGUUAUCCGGAUUUACUGGGUGUAAAGGGAGCGUAGACGGCAGCACAAGUCUGGAGUGAAAUCCCAUGGCUCAACCACGGAACUGCAUUUAAAACUGGAUUGCUAGAGUACAGGAGGGGUAAGCGGAAUUUCUAGUGUAGCGGUGGAAUGCUUAGAUAUUAGGAAGAACACCAGAGGCGAAGGCGGCUUACUGGACGGUAACUGACGCUGAGGCUCGAAAGCGUGGGGAGCAAACAGG